CUCUCUCUCUCUAUCUCUCUCUCUCUCUCUCUCUCUCUCUCUCUCAGCCGAGAGCCUCUUAUCCUUGCUCUCACCUUCCCAUUUUCUGCAAACACUCAUAUUCUCUCUCUCUCUCUCUCUCUCUCAGCCGAGAGCCUCUUAUCCUUGCUCUCACCUUCACUCUCUCAUCAAUCGAACUUGAAAACCAUAAAUUUGGCAUCUCUGAGACGAGAGGAACCUGUUUAUACCUUCGCACGCAUCAUCAGAGCGAUGGGCAGUGAACUGCCAUGGAACCCGUGAGCUUCGAGCUCUAGCUCUUGAUCUCAUUUUUCGAUUGUCUUCUCCGAGCAAACUCCGGCAACUUUGUGAUUUCUGGAGCUCGGGAAUAACUCGAACCAAUCUCAGAAUCUGGCGAGGGUUUUUGAGGGAAAUCCGUCGAGUCCGAGGUGAAUUCGACCCCCAUUCCUCUCAAAUCUGUUCAAAUUUCCAGCGAGGCUCCGGUGAUGGCAGACGGCUACCCUCGACGAUCUACGUUAAGUUUAACGGCAGAACUAAGGAUUCCGUUAACUCUAACGAAAUCAUUCAACAACGAAGGUAUAUUCCGUUAACUAUCUUAAACCCUCACUGCUCUGGCACGUAGCACCAGCGACGGUGAAUGUGACGUCUACUCGCCAAACCGCGGCAGCGAGUACGACAACGUGUUCACCUGCAACUGUGGCCCAUGGCGGCGCAUGUUGUCCGGCACAACACCACUGUGGCGACACGACACCACUGCGGCGACACGUGGUGGCGUGUGAUCGGAGCACGGCUGUGCGUGGCGACGCGUGACACACCCGAGACCUAACCCCAGGUUUUUCGUUGUUUUGAAUCACGUGGUGCCCUCCAUUUGUGCAAAUUCAAAGCCUAAAUGGUAGAGUUGGACAAUGUUCCAUACGUUGAUGUUUUAAACUUGUAUUAGCUUAUAUUGAUUAUCACAUGAUUGUUAGAGGAUCAUAAGGAUAUAGACAAGGAGGCUAUUUCCGAGGGACGCUCUAUUUAUCUGUUAGUGGAUCCCUUCGAAAAACUAAAACAUUUGUACGUCAUAUAUAUAUAUAUAUAUGCCUGAUAUGCGAAUGCAUAUUAAUAUUUUAGUCUCUAAUGAGACUUGUGAUGAUAUUUGAUAAUAUCUUUGGAUCCUCAGUGAUCUAUUUUCACUAAAUGGUCAUCAUGUGAUAUUUCAUAUAGCUAUCUUCAGCAGUAGAUUUAUUUGCAGGUAAUAUUUGUCUUAGUAGACACUAGAUGGUUGAUUAUUAUUACCGGUAUUGAGAUUAACUAGUUAAUGCUAGUAUAUUUCCUGCUGCUAUAUUUAUGUUAGUGGAUGCUAGCAAGAUUAAUUGACGGAAGGUAUGAUUUCUGAACUUGACUUGAUUGUUUUUCGAUGAUAUUAAUGAAUGAGAUUUUACUAUUGCAGUAGUAUUAUUAUAUAGCUUUUGCUAGAUAUGUUUCAAAACAGGGGUUAUUAGGUUUAAAUGAUGAUUUUAUAAUUGUGAUAAAACUGGUCCACUCACGUUUUGUUUUAUCAAUCUCUUCAAGACGUAACGAGAAUAAAGAGAACAUUGGUGGAGAUGAGUGGGCUUGGUAGUGAAGCUUUCAUCCUCUGAACUUCGGGUGAUGGCUCCUUUACUACAAUUUUAUCUUAGUUGUAAUAAUAUUGGCAUGAUCGACUUUUGAUUAUGCAUAGCAUUGCACUCUGUUGUAUUUACUGAUGUGUGAAACUUUUAGCUGUUGGAUUUAUUCAAUAUAAAUCAACCACAAAUGGUCUACUAUAUGUAAUAGGAAUGUAUAAGUUGGAGAUCAGUUAAGAUGCGAUUUGAUAUCCUUAUAUCAAUCCUACAUUGAGUGUCUUACAUUAUAGGUAGGUUUUUUAUUGAAUCCUUAAUAAUAUAUGAUUAUGAUAUUUUACUUGAGAGCCAGGAAAGGAGAGUUUUAGCUUUCCUUUAUGGAUGGAAUCUAAGACUUUUUUGCUAGUAUAUAAACACCGGUCCCUGCUAACCCUAGAUCAUGGCAACUAAGGCUUCCCAUAGAGCAUUGUCAUAAAGCUAGGAGUUUACAGAAGAGUUGGUGUUUUCUCUCUUGAUCACAGCAAACGUGCCGAUAUUGGUGUUCUCUUGAUCACUCAUUCUCUGCAUGGCUACUGCACCUUCAACAAGUAAGAGUUUCAU
This is a long non-coding RNA of Malus domestica (apple), 2180 nucleotides long. RefSeq lists it as uncharacterized. NCBI's taxonomy places the organism in Eukaryota, Viridiplantae, Streptophyta, Magnoliopsida, Rosales, Rosaceae. The record is from RefSeq and is a predicted model, not a curated record.